Pelobates cultripes (western spadefoot toad) is the source of this 223-nucleotide non-coding RNA. The record is from the annotation of a GenBank genome assembly. NCBI's taxonomy places the organism in Eukaryota, Metazoa, Chordata, Amphibia, Anura, Pelobatidae.
GUGGUGGCAGAGUGAGGGGGAGACACAGUGAGUGGGGGUGACUGGUGACAGAGUGAGGGAGUGGGUGACUAGUGACCCCCUUACUCUGUCACUGUGUUACCCCCUCCCUCUGUCACUAGUCACCCCCUCUCUCCGUCACUAGUCACCCCAUCCUUCUCUCUGUCACUAGUCACCCCAUCCCUCUCUCUGUCACUAGUCACUCCCUCCCUAACUCUGUCAUUGU